This 639-nucleotide ribosomal RNA is filed under the name Caenimicrobium sp. RNAcentral describes it as "bacterial SSU rRNA". It matches the Rfam family "Bacterial small subunit ribosomal RNA", at positions 93 to 728 of the family's 1533-position model. Lineage: Bacteria; Pseudomonadati; Pseudomonadota; Betaproteobacteria; Burkholderiales; Alcaligenaceae. The record is from RNAcentral.
GAGUGGCGAACGGGUGAGUAAUGUAUCGGAACGUACCCAGUAGCGGGGGAUAACUACGCGAAAGCGUGGCUAAUACCGCAUACGCCCUUUGGGGGAAAGCGGGGGACCUUCGGGCCUCGCACUAUUGGAGCGGCCGAUAUCGGAUUAGCUAGUUGGUGAGGUAAAGGCUCACCAAGGCGACGAUCCGUAGCUGGUUUGAGAGGACGACCAGCCACACUGGGACUGAGACACGGCCCAGACUCCUACGGGAGGCAGCAGUGGGGAAUUUUGGACAAUGGGGGCAACCCUGAUCCAGCCAUCCCGCGUGUGCGAUGAAGGCCUUCGGGUUGUAAAGCACUUUUGGCAGGGAAGAAAAGGUGCCGGUGAAUACCCGGCGCCGCUGACGGUACCUGCAGAAUAAGCACCGGCUAACUACGUGCCAGCAGCCGCGGUAAUACGUAGGGUGCAAGCGUUAAUCGGAAUUACUGGGCGUAAAGCGUGCGCAGGCGGCUCGGAAAGAAAGAUGUGAAAUCCCAGGGCUUAACCUUGGAAUGGCAUUUUUAACUCCCGAGCUAGAGUAUGUCAGAGGGGGGUAGAAUUCCACGUGUAGCAGUGAAAUGCGUAGAGAUGUGGAGGAAUACCGAUGGCGAAGGCAGCCCC